CUUUAGUCUUGAACUCUCCUAAAGGUGGGGGAUCUUAACUGCAUUUGCAAUUACCAGAAAAGGUAAAUAAAUGGUAAACCGCUGAAUCCACUGGCAAUCCAAAUUGCGAGAUUUAAAGCUGGGCUGGGAAUUUGAGAAAAAUAGAGUUGGUAAAUUAGCUACUUGGUACAACUUCUACAGAUGUUUUUUUGUGAGCUCUGAGUUUCUGGAAAAGCUAAAGUUCCCUGCAGUCUCCACCUACUUCCAAAGCAGUCACCAUGGCUCGCUGUCAGCCAAGUUUCCUGCCAACAGUCCCUGUGUGGGGGAAGGAAAGAAUCAAAGAAGGACAACUGGACAAAGUAAUCUACAGACAGCUUACAACAGUGCUGCACACGAUUAAUCUGACUUCACAGUGAGACGCUGAGAAAGGUGAAGUAAGUGGACUGAGAGCCACAGCUCCCAAGGGCAGUGCUUGGAUAGGAACUCAGAUCUUUACCUUCAAAGAAAGCUACAGGACUCAGCAAACAUGCUUAGAUAUCUGCUUCAGUGUGAAACGUAUAAUGAAAGAAGACUUCAUAAGCAGCUGUUUCUUAAGAAGCUUGUGUUAUACAAAUAUGACACAGUUAAUGAACAGAACUAGAGAGCAAUCUGCUACAUCUGUCUUCAAAGGACAAGGAAGAUAGCAAUCAAUACUGUAUUUACGACGGCAUUUUUCACCUGAAAAGUUUCCACUUAUCUACCGCUUCUGUCUAAGAAAGACAGGCUUUUUUUUUACUUAAAAUUUCUCCCUUGCUGCUUACCUAUUUUAGUGGUAGCAGCAGUUGUAUAAACUUAGUAAGAAUAGUUAUUAAUGUGUAAACUGAAUUAAUUAAUAUCUCUUUGAACAAAACAAAUGGAAGUGUGCCUAACCACUGUUUCUAUCACUGGCUGAGGGAAAGAAGGCAUUUCCGUAGCUGGAGCAGGUAAUAAAAUACAGAGCCAGAGAAGAGAGCACUAUACAGGAAUCAUUUUUUAAAGGAAAGAAGACAAAGUGUGCCAAUUCCAUUUUAAAGAUGAAGGAGACAAAGAUUCUGAAGGGUAUAUAUCCAAAGAUAAUAAAAACGUGAAAUUUUCUGUCUUGGAUUCUGUAUUUUUAUCUGUAAUAUUAUAAGUGUACAUCUAAGCUAAAGUUCUAGAAUAAUCUCUAUAUGUUAAGCAUACUUAAUGCUGUCUUAGAGUCCUAA
RNAcentral lists this long non-coding RNA (1202 nucleotides) under Homo sapiens (human). RNAcentral's name for it is "HSALNT0051980". Lineage: Eukaryota; Metazoa; Chordata; Mammalia; Primates; Hominidae. The record is from RNAcentral.